Molecule: transfer RNA, 72 nt
Filed under: Candidatus Woesebacteria bacterium
Lineage: Bacteria; Candidatus Woeseibacteriota
Description: tRNA-Lys
Rfam family: tRNA
About the family: Transfer RNA (tRNA) molecules are approximately 80 nucleotides in length. Their secondary structure includes four short double-helical elements and three loops (D, anti-codon, and T loops). Further hydrogen bonds mediate the characteristic L-shaped molecular structure. tRNAs have two regions of fundamental functional importance: the anti-codon, which is responsible for specific mRNA codon recognition, and the 3' end, to which the tRNAs corresponding amino acid is attached (by aminoacyl-tRNA synthetases). tRNAs cope with the degeneracy of the genetic code in two manners: having more than one tRNA (with a specific anti-codon) for a particular amino acid; and 'wobble' base-pairing, i.e. permitting non-standard base-pairing at the 3rd anti-codon position.
Source: RNAcentral
GGUCCGGUAGCUCAAUGGUAGAGCAGUUCCCUCUUAAGGAAUUGGUUGAGGGUUCGAGUCCCCCCCGGAUCA